Molecule: long non-coding RNA, 302 nt
Filed under: Trifolium pratense (red clover)
Lineage: Eukaryota; Viridiplantae; Streptophyta; Magnoliopsida; Fabales; Fabaceae
Description: long non-coding RNA (TPRA_LNC010265)
Source: RNAcentral
CAAAGAUAAACACUUCAGAUGGAAGUUGCUUGGAUUUAGAGUUCAUUCAGUGAAGUCUUGCAUCUAGCUACCACAGCUUCAAGUACCAAAAAAAAAAAAGGAGAAUAUAUAUAAUUAAUAAAUUUAUUAAUCAUGAAAUUAUAAACAAGUCAAUGUCCCACAAAUAUAGGAAAGGUACAAAUAAAUUGAUUUGAUCAAUUAUGAGGAGAAGCAGAGCAAGUGGUGUAUUAAUCUAAACAAUUUUCUUGUAAUAUAGUCUUAUUAUAAGAAUCUAAUUCAAUUUAUUCUAUAUCUAAAGGAAA